CAGUAGCCGCGGGAAUACGUAGGGUGCAAGCGUUAAUCGGAAUUACUGGGCGUAAAGCGUGCGCAGGCGGUUAUAUAAGACAGAUGUGAAAUCCCCGGGCUCAACCUGGGAACUGCAUUUGUGACUGUAUAGCUAGAGUACGGCAGAGGGGGAUGGAAUUCCGCGUGUAGCAGUGAAAUGCGUAGAUAUGCGGAGGAACACCGAUGGCGAAGGCAAUCCCCUGGGCCUGUACUGACGCUCAUGCACGAAAGCGUGGGGAGCAAACAGGAUUAGAGACCCCGGUAGUCCAUGUCUCUUAUAC
This 301-nucleotide ribosomal RNA is filed under the name uncultured bacterium. RNAcentral describes it as "partial 16S ribosomal RNA". It matches the Rfam family "Bacterial small subunit ribosomal RNA", at positions 509 to 807 of the family's 1533-position model. The record is from RNAcentral.